RNAcentral lists this long non-coding RNA (784 nucleotides) under Citrus x clementina. Its description in RNAcentral is "Citrus clementina (C. clementina) long non-coding RNA (CCLE_LNC003911)". The record is from RNAcentral. Lineage: Eukaryota; Viridiplantae; Streptophyta; Magnoliopsida; Sapindales; Rutaceae.
CACCGCAAUGCAAUGCACCAUAAUGUAAUACAACUAAUCAAUAUAAUGUAAUGCAGUGUGCCAAACGCACCCUUGACGCAUUGCUUCUUCUUUUUUUAUUUAAUUGGAAACCUUUGAUUUUUGUAAUUGCUCUUAUUUUUUUCUAAUCGGAAAUUAACAUUUGAUUUUUGUUAAACCUACGUUUGCUUUGUUGGUCUACCAAACUUUAUACAAUGGUAUAAAACUAUAAAAUACACUGUAAAUUGAAUGAUAAGAAUAAAAAUUUCGAGAGCCACAAAAACUUGAGAUUAGAACAAAGAUAUGAAAUGGCCAAAUGGAAAAAUUAGUCAAUACGAAAAUGGCCAAAUUGAAUGAUAAGAUGGAGGCUUAGUCUGAAAAUUACUCAAUAUGAAUGACAUUAGAAAUUAGUCAAUAGGAAAUGGCCAAAUGGCAGAACAAAAAUAAGUCUAAUCCUAUUGUUAAGGCGUCCCCCACUACCUUAAGACAUGACCACGUGACACGUGUGGAUAUCCUCUCCGCCAUCACUUUCAAAGAAGCCUCGCAAUUCACAAGCUUAAUUAAUUCACUUCUAAACUGUAUACUUAUGGUUCAUGCAAAUUGACAUUUACAAUAACUUACAGUGCAGCUAAAUUACAAGUUCACUCCACCAUUGAUCCUACUAUAUUACUUAUAUUCACACUAAUAUGAUUGGUUGUAAGUUACUAUAAUGGUAAAUAAGCAAAAGCUUAUAUUUAUUAUUUUAUAUAUGAGUGAGUUUCCAAUCAGGCAUCCUUAAUUAUAUUGA